Long non-coding RNA from Planococcus citri (citrus mealybug), 2708 nucleotides. RefSeq lists it as uncharacterized. Lineage: Eukaryota; Metazoa; Arthropoda; Insecta; Hemiptera; Pseudococcidae. The transcript has 3 exons. The record is from RefSeq and is a predicted model, not a curated record.
CUAAAUACCUACCUAUGAUACAGAAAAUCACGUGUCUUUCAUACAUUUCCUAAUUUUUUUCCGUCUUGAUAUUCAAUAACAAAUUACACUUUUAGUUGUGCAUUCGUGAAAGUAGGUAGGUAAUUAAUUUGUUUCUCAAUCGUGUAGUCAAGUUUGAGCUAUUGAAAUUGUCUAAAGUGAUCAGCAUUUGAUACACUACAGUUCACAGCAUCAUAAAUAUAAUAUAAGAUAAUUAUCGAAGAAAUACAACUCGCUAUUAAAGAGCUGAAAACUCAAGCAUUCGAUAUGAAUUCUGGGAUUAUAUUUUCUGCGAUGGUACUGUUCUUCCUGUAUGCAUUCAAUUGCAAUAUCGAUCGCAUUCAUGGUGCUAGUUCAGAGAAACUUCAAGAAGAUGUGCUCAAGCUGAGAGAAGAACUUAUCAAAAUCAAAGAGGAUAUUUUAAAUACACGAGAACGUGCACUGAACCAAACAGAGGAUCUUUUAAAUAAACGAGACCGCGAACUGAAUCAACGAGAAGAAGCUGCCAAAGAACUCGUCAAAGCCAAAGAGGAUCUUUUAAAUAAACGAGAACACGAAUUGAGUCAAAGAGAAGAAGCUUUCAAAGAACUUAUCAAAGCCAAAGAGGAUCUUUUAAAUAAACGAGAACAAGAACUUAAUCAAAGAGAAGAAGCUCUCAAGCAAAAUGAAAUGUCGAAAGAAGAUUUAGAAAUAUACAAAGGACUGAAAAAUAAAACAUGGAACAGACAUAGCAUGUUUUCUUGGUCUGCUCAAUCACUUACGGGUACAACUACGAAUACGAAUCUCAAGGAAAUAGUGAACUACGAGUGUCCUUCGGAGAGACUUUGCUUUUUCACGAGAUGGUGAAAAUCUGAGAAAUUCGAAUGAAGGCCAUUUUUACGAUAUGAGAGAAAGGGAUCAGAAUUUGGCUCACACUGAGCUCAAUAGUUCUAUCCUACUUGUACAUUGUGAUGUUUAACAAAAAAUACAAAAUUAAAAUACGAAUUUUUGCAAGUUGUUGCCACUGCUACGUUCGAGCUAAUUUGUUUCCAUGUUUUACAAAAUAAAAAAAAAAUUCAUAUUUGAGGUUUCUUAAAACUUGAACGUGGGAAAAUGAAAAUUUUUUCAUAUGUCAUGAUAUAGGCUAUAAGAAGACCUUGGGUAGGUACCUAUAAUGCUAACUGGCAGAGUUGUUUUCUCACCUGUCGCUUUAAGUACCUAUUUGGCAAAAUUUCGACUAUUUUUUUCUUACGUCAGUCGGCAAAUUUUCGAUUGUACCUCCCCCCUCCCCUUAAAAAAACUUUUAGUUAUUUCUUGAAAUGGGUAUUAGGCUAUUUUUAGGAAAAUCUCGACGUACAAAUGGAUAAUUUUUGAAAAAAUUGGAUUUUGGAUUUCAGUAUCGAUUUAUUCUUAUUUUUAACUGGAGGGGAGGGGGCUCUUGGCACGACCUUUUUUCAGAUAGGAUAAAAAUCAAGACAAAAACUAGGGAUUCAUUUUCUCACACGAGGUUAGAACUUCAGGAAGUAUGUGUGGGAGAGAGGAGAAAUAAGUAUUCCAAAAUAGGGGUAAAAACGCAGUUAAUAUUGAGCGCUACCUGGAGGGAAAAAGUUCAAGGUGGACUUUUAAACGAUGCGAAGUUUAUCUUACUAGAUCUGAACUCUGGAGUCAUUUCAUCACGUGCACGCGAAUUCAUCAGUGAUCGGUCAUUUUCACAUGUGAAUGAAAAAGUAAAGCAUCUUAGUAUUAUCGAAGAAUUUCAUCGAAAAAAAAUCAUUUUUUUUAAAUUUCAAAAUUUUAUAUUUUUAAUUUUUCGGCGGUCGUUUUUUUUAAUUGAAAAAAAAAUAGAACAAUUUUGGCGCUGAAAUUUUCACAUGCUGGUAUAAUAUUGAAAUAUAAGAUAAUUAUCGAAGAAAUACAACUCGCUAUUAAAGAGCUAAAAACGCAAGCAUUCAAUAUGAAUUCUGGGAUUAUAUUUUCUGUGAUGGUACUGUUCUUCCUGUAUGCAUUCAAUUGCAAUAUUGAUCGCAUUUAUGGUGCUAGUCUAGACAAGCCUCAAGAAGAUAAUAUACGAGUACUCAAGCUGAGUGAAGAACUUAUCAAAAUCAAAGAGGAACUUUUAAAUAUACGAGAACGUGCACUGAACCGAACAGAGGAUCUUUUAAAUAAACGAGACUGCGAACUGAAUCAACGAGAAGAAGCUGCCAAAGAACUCAACAAAACCAAUGAGGAUCUUUUAAAUAAACGAGAGCACGAACUGAGACAAAGAGAAGAAGCUUUCAAAGAACUUGUCAAAGUCAAAGAGGAUCUUUUAAAUAAACGUGAACUCGAAUUGAAUCAAAGAGAAGAAGCUCUCAAACAAAAUGAAAUGUCGAAAGAAGAUAUAGAAAUAUACAAAGGAUUGAAAAAUAAAACAUGGAACAGACAUAGCAUGUUUACUUGGUCUGCUGAAUCACUUACGGGUACAACUACGAAUACAAAUCUCAAGGAAAUAGUGAACUACGAGUGUCCUCCGGAUAGACUUUGUUUUUUCACGAGAUGGUGAAAAUCUGAGAAAUUCGAAUGAAGGCCAUUUACGAUACUAGAGAAAUUGAUCAAAAUUUGGCUCGCACUGAGCUGUUCUAUGUACAUACCAAUCGAUACUCGACCAAUAGUUCUAUCCUAGGUAUACUUGUAUAUUGUAAUGUUUAACAAAUACAAAAUUAGAAUACGAA